CUGCCCAGACAACCCAUAGCCCUCAGGUCCAGGCAGUGACCACCAACACACAAGAGCUUCCCCCAGCACCAGGGAAGAUGGGACUUGGGCUCCACCUGCUUGUCCUGGCCGCAGCUCUGCAAGGUGCCUGGUCCCAGGGGCAGCUGGUAGAGUCUGGAGGAGACGUGAGGAAACCUGGAGACUCUCUGCGCCUCUCCUGCAAAGCCUCUGGGUUCACCUUCAGUAGCUACUACAUGAACUGGGUCCGCCAGGCUCCUGGGAAGGGGCUGGACUGGGUGGGUGAUAUUAAUCCUGAUGGAUCCACCCAGAGGUACUCCCCGACUGUUAAGGGGCGAUUCACCGUCUCCAGAGACAACUCCCAGAACAUGGCAUACCUGCAGAUGAGCAGCCUCAAACCCGAGGACACAGCCCUGUAUUACUGUGCCACAGACACAGUGACUCAAACCCUAUUCAUGGCAAUACAAAAUCCCAGUUCAGAUCCUCCCUUCUAA
This is a non-coding RNA of Alligator sinensis (Chinese alligator), 491 nucleotides long. The record is from the annotation of a RefSeq genome assembly. NCBI's taxonomy places the organism in Eukaryota, Metazoa, Chordata, Crocodylia, Alligatoridae.